This 496-nucleotide ribosomal RNA is filed under the name uncultured bacterium. RNAcentral describes it as "bacterial SSU rRNA". It matches the Rfam family "Bacterial small subunit ribosomal RNA", at positions 28 to 523 of the family's 1533-position model. The record is from RNAcentral.
GAUGAACGCUAGCGGCAGGCUUAACACAUGCAAGUCGAGGGGUAUUGGUUUUCGGACCAAGAGACCGGCGCACGGGUGCGUAACGCGUAUGCAAUCUACCUUUUGCAGAGGGAUAGCCCAGAGAAAUUUGGAUUAAUACCUCAUAGUAUAGUACUUUGGCAUCAAGGAACUAUUAAAGUCACAACGGCAAAAGAUGAGCAUGCGUCCAUUAGCUAGUUGGUAAGGUAACGGCUUACCAAGGCUACGAUGGGUAGGGGUCCUGAGAGGGAGAUCCCCCACACUGGUACUGAGACACGGACCAGACUCCUACGGGAGGCAGCAGUGAGGAAUAUUGGACAAUGGGCGCAAGUCUGAUCCAGCCAUGCCGCGUGCAGGAUGACGGUCCUAUGGAUUGUAAACUGCUUUUAUACAGGAAGAAACACUCCGACGUGUCGGAGCUUGACGGUACUGUAAGAAUAAAGGAUCGGCUAAACUCCGGUGCCAGCAGCCGCGGUAA